This 1758-nucleotide unclassified non-coding RNA is filed under the name Leishmania donovani. RNAcentral's name for it is "gene:LdHU3.09.1290(CDS-product:hypothetical_prote in)". Lineage: Eukaryota; Euglenozoa; Kinetoplastea; Trypanosomatida; Trypanosomatidae. The record is from RNAcentral.
CCACCGAAUCAAAAUUCAAAAGACGCUCUCACUUCAGCUUCGCACAUCCGCGUUUCGUUCCACCGGCCCUCUCGUCGCCUACACCACAAGCCAACGCCAUUGCCCCAGCUUUCACAUUUCCUCCCCCUCUCUCUCUGGUGCUCUCCUAGCGAUGGCCUCUACUCUGAACAAGUUUCUCCUGGUGCUCGUGGCCCUCGUGGUUCUCGCCACCCACGCUGCGGCGCAGAGCCCCCCCUGCAGUAUCAAGCAGUGCAGUGAGUGCGUUGCCGGGUCCACCACCCAGUGCGCGAUCUGCAACCCUGGCUACCGGCUGAACGCCAAAGGCCAGUGCGUAACGAACGUGAACGCCGCCGCGGCCCCGCACGUCGCCGUUACCGCCGUGGCAGCUGUGGUGACUGCUGUCGUGGCCUAUACGCUGUGAUAGCAUCGACCAAGCUGGUGGGUCAAGGGAGCAGAGGAGCGACCAAUGUAGCUGGUUGUGUGGCGGUGCUGCUGCUGCUGUUGCUGCGAUGGGGUACGGGCGCUGACUCUUCUGCUAGCGUGGUGUGGGAGAGACGGAGCGCCUGUGCUACCUGUAGAGGACCUCUCUCUCUUUCCCCCCGCCGCCGCUGCCGCCGCUGCCCUCCCCCGCAUUUCGUAAGCGCAAAACACGCCGACUAACGGAUGACAUGGCACAUGCUUGCGUGAAGCAUGUGUGCUCUGACUCGAUGUCCCCUUGGCCCCCCUGGCACUUCGCUCCACCGUCCUGGGUUUGCUCUCUCUCGCUCCUUUUCUUUUCGUGCCAGCACCAGCAGCGGCUUUGCUCUCUCGAUCGUUGGCUCCCCUCCCCUCUCCUUCUCCCUUUUCUUUCUCACCAUCCUCUUCGCUUUUCUUGACUUGGCUCUUUUGAAUUUCCCAUGUGUUGUUUGCUUCACGUUGUCGUUUCGUGUCUCUCUCGUUUUCUCCACGGCCGAGAUAACCCUCGCUCGGCAUCUUGUGUGCGGACGCCUGCACAUGUGUACACGUGUGUGUGUGUGUGCAAUGGGCGACAUCGGUGAACACUUCUUCUGCCCCCCCCCCUCCCUUCUUCCCUGUCCCCCUCUUUCUUUUCCUCAUUGUUCCGGGCACGUGAGUGCUUAAAAUUUUUUUUUUUCGCAUGCCCAUCUGCUUUGCGCAUCGCUUCGCUCUUUUUUUUUUGUUGGCCUUCGCACGUUGUUGACACUCACCCUCCCUCCCUCUUAUGCGGGCUCAUCCUUUCUCGACACACAAAGCGGCGUUAGUAUACCACUCUCUGGUUUCGCCCUCCCCCUUCCCCUCCCUCUUCCCUGUUCCCCCCCGCCCACCACGCAAGCCUCUCUUUCUGUGUGUGCGUAUUGUUUUCUUUGUAAGCUUUUCCUCAGAAGCGGCUCCGCGUGGGCAGGGAUAUGAAGGGGAUGGGGGCUGCUGCUCGGCUUCCUUCCCCAGACAGUAUGUGUGUGGGGGGGGGUGCGGGCACGGGACCCUGCGAUAUCACGCACGGAGCUGUGUGCCCUCCCCCGACUCCCCUCGUCAUGAGGGCCAUGUGAAUACUACAGGAAAAACAAUUAUACAUACACAGAAAAAAAACAGACUAUGCAAGCAACUGACGCAUUCUUGGUGACGGUGACGCGAAGCGCGACUGUCUACGGUUUACACAUGUUGAGAAGCGAGGGCACCAAGAGCCCAUGCUCGUCGUCCGACAAGGGAUCCCGGCUAGAUGUUCGCGGUCCGGCGAGACGGUCGAGACUCCCUCCCUCCCCG